GCUGGGUGCAGUGACUUACACCUGUAAUCCCAACACUUUGGGAGGCUGAGGUGGGUGGAUCACCUGAGGUCAGGAGUUCAUGACCAGCCUGACCAACAUGGUGAACCCCCAUCUCUA
Molecule: non-coding RNA, 117 nt
Filed under: Gorilla gorilla gorilla (western lowland gorilla)
Lineage: Eukaryota; Metazoa; Chordata; Mammalia; Primates; Hominidae
Source: Rfam by way of RNAcentral